This 495-nucleotide ribosomal RNA is filed under the name uncultured bacterium. Its description in RNAcentral is "partial 16S ribosomal RNA". It matches the Rfam family "Bacterial small subunit ribosomal RNA", at positions 28 to 507 of the family's 1533-position model. The record is from RNAcentral.
GACGAACGCUGGCGGCGUGCCUAAUACAUGCAAGUAGAACGCUGAAGGAGGAGCUUGCUCUUCUGGAUGAGUUGCGAACGGGUGAGUAACGCGUAGGUAACCUGCCUGGUAGCGGGGGAUAACUAUUGGAAACGAUAGCUAAUACCGCAUAAGAGUAGAUGUUGCAUGACAUUUACUUAAAAGGUGCAAUUGCAUCACUACCAGAUGGACCUGCGUUGUAUUAGCUAGUUGGUGGGGUAACGGCUUACCAAGGCGACGAUACAUAGCCGACCUGAGAGGGUGAUCGGCCACACUGGGACUGAGACACGGCCCAGACUCCUACGGGAGGCAGCAGUAGGGAAUCUUCGGCAAUGGACGGAAGUCUGACCGAGCAACGCCGCGUGAGUGAAGAAGGUUUUCGGAUCGUAAAGCUCUGUUGUAAGAGAAGAACGAGUGUGAGAGUGGAAAGUUCACACUGUGACGGUAUCUCACCAGAAAGGGACGGCUAACUACGUG